This 406-nucleotide ribosomal RNA is filed under the name uncultured soil bacterium. RNAcentral describes it as "bacterial SSU rRNA". It matches the Rfam family "Bacterial small subunit ribosomal RNA", at positions 26 to 434 of the family's 1533-position model. The record is from RNAcentral.
AGAUUGAACGCUGGCGGCAGGCCUAACACAUGCAAGUCGAGCGGCAGCACGGGUACUUGUACCUGGUGGCGAGCGGCGGACGGGUGAGUAAUGCCUAGGAAUCUGCCUGGUAGUGGGGGAUAACGCUCGGAAACGGACGCUAAUACCGCAUACGUCCUACGGGAGAAAGCAGGGGACCUUCGGGCCUUGCGCUAUCAGAUGAGCCUAGGUCGGAUUAGCUAGUUGGUGAGGUAAUGGCUCACCAAGGCGACGAUCCGUAACUGGUCUGAGAGGAUGAUCAGUCACACUGGAACUGAGACACGGUCCAGACUCCUACGGGAGCAGCAGUGGGGAAUAUUGGACAAUGGGCGCAAGCCUGAUCCAGCAAUGCCGCGUGAGUGAUGAAGGCCUUAGGGUUGUAAAGUCU